GCAACAAUCAAUUGCAUGUUUCUGUGUACCUGGAUGAGAGGAUUUUGAGUGUUCCCAACACAAAGAAGUGAUAAGUGUGUUAAUACGGAGGGAGGAGAUAGAAGGGCCAAGCCUCACCCCAGGCAGGACUGACUGGCAGAGCUAAGACUUGUGUUCAACUGUACUCUGGGUGGGGUCAGUGAGAAACUUUUUUUCCUCCUGCUUGCCUUGUCCUUGCUCUGUUUCUUCAGAGAAUGUUCCUAGGUAUGGCCUUGGACAUACAACCUGCUCUCCCUCAGACCCUACCUUCUCAUCUAUGGACAGGUCAGUGCUUUGUCCCAGCUGGGUCCACAGUGAGGACUACGUGAGUGGAUGUCUGCAGUGCAGCAAGAAAAGACAGGUGUUUUAGAACGGUUGUCAGUGUCAUUGUCCUCACAUUGGUUGUCACACUUUUUCAAUUCCCUAUAAUUAGGUACUGUGCUAUGUUGUGAGUCUAAGGAAGAGAAAUUCAGAAAAAAUGAAAUAAUAAAAAAGAAGCCAACAAUAUCCUAUCCCCAAACAGUAAAGGACACCAAAGGAAGAGACACACUUAAGUUAAAACACUACAAAAAUCCCAGUGCUGGGAGGGAGAGUGCAGAAGGGCAGGGAGCCUGGGGGAAGAGCUCCCCACUGCAGGCUGAAAGCCCACUGCUGCCUGAUGCCCCCAGCCUCCCUCACGCCUGGGAAACCCAGCAGCCCUGGGCUCAGAGCAUCAGUGGUGCUGCUGCACAGCGGCUCCCUCCAGGGCCAGACAAGCAGACACUGCUGGGUGCAUUGGGAAGGGAUCCCCAUCCUCUCCCUGGGUCCUCACACCUUCCUCUUCCACAGGCACAGGGGAGCUGAGACCCUCCCUCUCCCCACCUGCCCCUGACCAGCCCUGCCUGGGGCAGCCCCCCUGGCACUCAGCAUCACUCACCUGAGCAGUGUGCAGGGGCUCUGGCAGGAACUGUGGAGAGCAGCACAGCCAGGCCUCUUUAUCCUUCCCUGAGUCCCAGUGCUCAGGGACACUCUCACUGCUGUCAACAUGUCAGUGUCAGGAGUUUGGCUCUGCCAGGGGAAAAGGCUCCUUGUGCACGCUGUGGAGCCCUGGGGCCAGCUCUGCCCUCUCCCUGCUGGGCCCUCAUUUGCUGAGCCCAGAAUCCUCCUGGUCCUAAUUGUGGUGAACCUGCCCUGAUGAGCAGGAGGCAGCUGGGUGAGGAGCAGGUGGCAGAGGGCUCUGGGUUCCUGGGACCUGAUUAUGUUCUCAUCCCCCUCCUUCCUCUCACCUCCAAUACUCAGGACCAACUGGGAAGGAGUAUUGUAGAGUCAGCAGUGGACACUUUCUCAACUUUUGUGCUUCAAAUUUUUAAAAAAUAUUUAUAUAUUUAUUUAUUUAUUUGAAAGUCAGAAUGACAGACAGAUUGGGAGAGUCAGAGACAGAGACAGAGAGAACUUUCAUCCUCUGGUUCACUUCCCAAAUGGCCACAAUGACAGGGCUAGGCCAGAUAGAAGCCAGGAGCCAGGAACUCCAUCCAGAUCUCAAUGUGUGUGGCAGGGGUCCAAGUACUUGAGCUGUCCUUUGCUGCUUUCCCAAGCAAAUUUGCAGAAGGCUAGGUCAGAAGUGAGCAGCUAGGACUCAAACCAGCUAUUCAGAGUAACUUUAGAUUCACUAUGAAUGUUUGAUUGGAUAUUUCUAUUUGUGCCAAAUAUAUUGUUGGGAUUUUUUUCAUACGGUUUACAUUAAAUCUGCAGUUGGCUUUACAUAGUAUUGACUGAUUUAAAAUGUUAAGUCUACCAACCCAUGAGGAUGGGAUGUCUUUCCAUUUAUUGUUUUAAUUUCUUUUAGCAAUGAUUUGUAGUUUUUAGUGUACAAGUUUUUUUGAUUUUAUGUUGAGGUUAUUCCUAGUAUUUUAUUCUUUUUUAUACUAUUUUCAGAUUUAUUAGUUCACUCCCCCAAAUGGCUGCAAUGGACAUGGUUGGGCCAGGCUGAGGCCAGGAGCCGGUACCUUGUUAUGAGUCUCCCAUGUUAAAAAGAAACUCUUUUUCACGCACAAAAGCAACACCUAAUUGUCAACAGAUUAAUUUAAAAAUUAUUUCGGCCAUCUUUUAAUUCUUCUGUCGAUUAUUAACAUUCACGAGCAAUUUAUGACACAACUAACCACUUGUGGACGUGUUGAUGAUGCCUUCACAAAUCUAAGCUUGUGAAUUCAUUGUGCACGUUCCCUCCGUUUCCCUAACAUUACGAUGGAAACAUUUAAACUAAAAGGACGUCUGUAUCACUGGAUUAUAAUCUAGUACAAAAAACCCAUGCGUGCGUGCGUGCGUGCGACAUUACCAGAUGGCUGACCGCAGCAAUACAUGUGGAAAGGACCAGUCUUUACAGAACAACUCUCUGCUCCCAGAGCUGUGCUUCGUGAGCCGCGCCCCUUGAGUGGGAGAGCCACGUGGAGGAUAAAACGGUAUGCACCUCUGCGCACACGGGGAGAAACCUGGGCCUGGAAGAGCCGCUUCCGCAAGCGCUGAGAAAAGCGCACCUGGAAAGGAGGAGCUACAAGGGCCCUGGACCCUCCACAGGCUGCGGCGUGGUAGGUGAUGGGCGCCUUCCAAGGGGACUCCAGGUCCAGGCCGAAUCCGUCUCCACAAGGACCGGGGGCGCUGGGUUAACAGGCAGAGGCAGGUGGAGGGGAGCCACGAGCCGCCUCGACCCAGCCUCCCGCCUUCUCUGUCUCUUCCAAAGCAAAGAGCCGCCCACGUCUGCAGCCUCCGGCCUGCUCCGGCUUCCUCCGGGUUCCGCCGUCAGCGCCCCGCGUCGCCACCCUGGACCGCGGCGUCCUCCGGCCCGGACGCGCUCAGCGCCGCGGCGCGGGCCCUGUGACAGGCAAGCCUUCGGGAGUGGCCCCGCGCGGGGACGAGGUGGCCGAGUGGUUAAGGCGAUGGACUGCUAAUCCAUUGUGCUCUGCACGCGUGGGUUCGAAUCCCACCCUCGUCGGCGCCCUGCUUUUAGGGCUGGCAAACGGUUCACAGGCGGCUGCAGCGUGCGCUCCCUCUGGUUCUGUGGCCUUUGCCCGCUUGAGCUUCGCGCUCACUUCUCCGGGUCCGAGCCUCCUGGCGGGGCCGCUUCCCUCUCUUCCCUCUCUCCCGUUUUGUAACAGGCCUGAGCUUGCAUCCAUGGCAUUGAUUUGGCAGACGUCCGAGGACAUCUUGCCGCUGUGACCCCGAUUUCACUCCACGUAGCCCCUUUCUCGGUGUUUGCCACACUCCUGCAAGGGCCGUGACGUCCAGGCGGAUCUCCCGCCGUGGCAGACGGGGCCCUGAGUGCCAGGCGGCGGGAACCGGGUGGGAGCGCUCCCAGCGAUGGAGGGAUGGAGACAGGAGUUUUACUUUAAUUAAUCAAUUAAUUUCAUUUUUAUUUAAUUAAAGGAAGUUUUAUUUUGGUGUUAGAAGAAUGUAUUGGUCAUGCACCUGGAAUCCUUUAUGGAUCUUGCUAACAACUGAUGGUUUUAUUUAUUUAUUUGAAAGAGUUACAACAACUGAUGCUUUUCAAACAAAAGUUGGAAAGGUAAGGAUUGUAGCUCUGUGCAGUGUAGGACAUGGUGCUGUGCUGUAGGCAUUCCCUGAGUCACUCAGUGGCCGCUCACACCUCUCCCAGGGCCCCGCAGGGCACUGUUCUUGUUCCUGGAGAGCACUGCCUGCUGCCUCAAGUGUAGGCUUCUCCCUGGAGGCUUUCACCCAAUUGACCACUGCAAUCCUGUCUUCAGUUUGCCUGAGUGUGAGAACUCAAAAAUAUAGAAUAUAGGGAAUGAGAGCACAGGAUAAGUGACAGCUCUGAAGUACAAAGGAGUAGGAAUUAAAGAUAUAAAAAUUGGAAAUAAGAGCCUAACCAGGAAUGAUACACCAAUAAAAAUUACUUAAAUAUAUGUGUGUGUAUAGUGAACCAAAGAGGAGGGAGGUACAACAGAAGAUAUAAUGUUGCUAAAUUUGAGAGAUGGUAACGAGGUUGGUCUCAAUAUCACAACUUUCCCAUGGCAGCCUCUCCCAUGUACCUGACAUGGAGAACAAGACAAAUCAGCACUGCCUGAAGUAGUCAUUGAGGUUUGACUCAGAGGAAGGGAUUAAGUGUCUGGGAAUGAAAUUAACAGUGGUGUAUUCAAACCGAGCCAUGAAGAGUUUACUGAGCAACAAGAAUAGACAGGAAGUGUCGAGAUGAAUAUGCAGCUGAGAAUAGCUCAGUGGAAAAAUGUGGUUACAGUUGGUGUGCUAGAAUGUAGGUGCCCCAUAUAAGCAUAAUUGGGUAAUUCCUUUAUUGAUGUUGGAUUGCUAAAACUUGAUUGAACUUAGACUCUCAAGCAUAAAAUAAUAACUAAACAAAUCUAAAGAGUAGGAGGCAUGGAAGAGAAACUGGAAACAUACUGCUUAAAAGACUUAUUUAUUUGAAAGCAUUACAGAGAAAGAGGGAGAGACAGAAACAGAGAGAGCUUCCGUCUGCUGGUUCACUUCCCAAAUGGUAGCAACAGCUGGAGCUGGGCCAGGUGGAAGCCAGGAGCCAGGAGCUAGCAGCUUUGUCUGGGUCUCUCAAGUGGGUGGCAGAAGCCCAAACACUUGGGCCAUGUUUUGCUGCUUUCCCCAGGCAGCUGAAUCAGACCUGGAGCAGCCAGACACAAACCAGCACCCAUAUGGGUGCCAGCAUCCUAGGUGGCGGCUUACCCCAGGGCCGGCCCUGGAACUGGAAAUCUUGAUCUGCAGGACACCCUGCUCAGCGGGAAGCACACCAGCUACCUCUCACCUCUAGCAUACUUAGACUGCUUCUCAGCAACACCAUCGACAUAGGAAGAUGAACUCUGCAUCGAUUUUCCUGUGAAAUCUUCCACAAGAUUUGAAGUCGCAGUGGCUGGAAGCCUCUCCCACUUGGUGAAAGAGAUAGAUCAGCUUCUAGAAGCUCAGAGGACCCUAAGCAGGUUGCCUAUGAAGGUCCAUAUCCAGGUCAAUCAUAAUCAAGUUCCUGAAAAUUAAGACAAUGAAGCUCCCAAAGCAGUCUGAGAAAAAUAGCGCAUUACCUACAAGGGAGCAAAGAUUAUCAAGUGACAGUGACCUUGCAAUAAACCUCACCCCUGAGGCAUGGAUCCCCUGACCCUAUUGAGUUCUGAGUCUGACUGGUAGUGCUCAGAGACUCUUUGGGUCCCCAGGCAUCGGGGUCAAUUCAGGUCAGUGUCCGUUUGCAUCUCUUUGCCAGUGCACAGCCCCCUCCCCCCCCAUGUAAGUGAUCCCAUUUCCCAUGAGGAAGACUGAGAAGCUCAUCAGUGAAAGUUUGUGGCAGAGUCCCCAGGGAGCCUGGGUUCCCCUUUACUGCAGGGGCUCUGAGUUUCUGAAGUGGUUCAAGUGAGAGUUAAGUGAGGAGUUGUGAGCACGUGGCCUAGCAAUUCAAGGCAGAAUUCAAGUCAGACAACCAUGCUUUCUGUGUAUACAAAUCAGAGAUUUACAGGCCUUGCCUCCUUAGCGCAGCAGGCAGCGCGUCAGUCUCAUAAUCUGAAGGUCCUGAGUUCGAGCCUCAGAGGGGGCAGCUGGACUUUUGUCCCAAGUUAAGGCUCUGGGGCCAGUGUUGACAAUGCAUUCCCCUAUCAGCACCACCUCUCAAGGAAAUGCAAAAAUCUUCAUAGUAGAUAAAAGGCUCAGGUGAUCUCCUCGAUGCUUCCAUUUCAGUUCUAAGGGUGCCAUUAUCCCAAAGAUUUCAUGAGUCAGACCAAUCUACUGUCUGUGAGCAAUGGAGGUGGUAAUGGAGGUGGGAGUUGUUCUAGGAUCCUGGGACUGUCCUCUGAUUGUAUUUGGUGCAGCUAUGGUGAAAAGCACUUCCUGUGGAACUCCCUAUUGUGCAAGGGCAGAUCUAUUAAUCUAAAUUGUCUUGGCCAUUGCAGUCUCCCUUAGGCCUUGGACACCUUCCUUUGUGGUACCCUAAGGUCUGAUAGUUGACUAAAUUUAGAAGAGUCCAUACUUGGUGCAGUUUUGAUUCCUUAACCAACCCACAAACUUUCAGAGCCAUUCCCAGUCCCUCAAAUAAAAAUGAAAUUCAGAAUCUCCACUUAGUGGCUUCACCAAUGAAUUUUGCCUGAUCUAAUUUUAUGUUCCUUCUGUGUGGACCAUUCUCACUCUGAUCUCCACCUCAAAUCCCAAACAAUCCAGAAACGGUUUCUGAAGUAAAGAUUAAAUAUGUUCUGAUACACGUGGCUUCGCUGCAACACCUAUCUUGCUCUGAAAUAUAUUCCUGACCUUUUAUGACUUUGCGUAGCAUCCUUUGCUACCACAAUCACAUUGGCCAUCAUGGGGUCAUCAGUUUCAUAAACACCUAGAGGAAAAUCUGACCCCUCCUGUAUGGACCUUGCCAAAGCAAAAACAUCAGGCGGAAUCUAAUCCAGCCCAUCAGUCUAGUUGUGCAUUUAUGGAAAAUAAUGGGGAGAAUACAUUUUUUCCUCCAACAACCUUUGAUUUAAGGAAUACACAUUUCAUGCAUUUCAUAAGUACAACUUUAGGAACAUAGUGAUUCUUC
Molecule: non-coding RNA, 6535 nt
Organism: Oryctolagus cuniculus (rabbit)
Lineage: Eukaryota; Metazoa; Chordata; Mammalia; Lagomorpha; Leporidae
Source: RefSeq, a predicted model, not a curated record